UACGAAGGGGGCGAGCGUUGUUCGGAAUUACUGGGCGUAAAGGGUUUGUAGGUGGCCUGCUAAGUCAGACGUGAAAUCCCUCAGCUUAACUGGGGAACUGCGUCUGAUACUGGCGGGCUUGAGGACAGGAGAGGAACGCGGAAUUCCAGGUGUAGCGGUGAAAUGCGUAGAUAUCUGGAGGAACACCGAUGGCGAAGGCAGCCCCCUGGGCUAGCACUGACGCUCAGGCACGAAAGCGUGGGGAGCAAACAGG
RNAcentral lists this ribosomal RNA (253 nucleotides) under uncultured bacterium. RNAcentral's name for it is "partial 16S ribosomal RNA". It matches the Rfam family "Bacterial small subunit ribosomal RNA", at positions 524 to 776 of the family's 1533-position model. The record is from RNAcentral.